Molecule: long non-coding RNA, 356 nt
Filed under: Carica papaya (papaya)
Lineage: Eukaryota; Viridiplantae; Streptophyta; Magnoliopsida; Brassicales; Caricaceae
Description: long non-coding RNA (CPAP_LNC006745)
Source: RNAcentral
AUAACAUGUCCAGUAAUGAGUACCAAACACACCAUCGUCUCAAUAUCUCGUCCGGUAUGAGGGUGAACCAUAUCUCCAAACCCUUUCAGUAUGGGAUCAUUCAACCCUGUCCUGUUGAGGUAUUAUCCAUGAUAGGGUUUUUCCUAUGUACCGCGUCCGUCCACCAUUUCUCAAGGUACCCAGUAAGUCUUUUAUAUAUAGAUCCUCAUCAAUAAACAAUCACAAUCACUUAGUAACAUAUCAUUUUAUAUUCACAGAUCAAUCAAACGACAUUUAAGCCAACAGUACAUUUUUUUAAUACAUUCACAAUUAAGAAACGUAAUUAGGGUCUCUAUUUUAAAUCAAUCAAUCAGAUA